Molecule: unclassified non-coding RNA, 372 nt
Filed under: uncultured Gammaproteobacteria bacterium
Lineage: Bacteria; Pseudomonadati; Pseudomonadota; Gammaproteobacteria
Description: contains 16S-23S intergenic spacer region
Source: RNAcentral
UCCGGUUUGUCACCGGCAGUCUCCCUAGAGUGCCCUUGCGUAGCAACUAGGGACAAGGGUUGCGCUCGUUGCGGGACUUAACCCAACAUCUCACGACACGAGCUGACGACAGCCAUGCAGCACCUGUGUUACGGCUCUCUUUCAAGCACCCCCACAUCUCUGCAGGGUUCCGUACAUGUCAAGGGUAGGUAAGGUUAUUCGCGUUGCAUCGAAUUAAUCCACAUCAUCCACCGCUUGUGCGGGUCCCCGUCAAUUCCUUUGAGUUUUAAUCUUGCGACCGUACUCCCCAGGCGGGCAACUUCACGCGUUAGCUGCGGUACCAGGAAAUCGCUUCCCCAACACCUAGUUGCCAUCGUUUAGGGCGUGGACUAC